This 482-nucleotide ribosomal RNA is filed under the name uncultured bacterium. RNAcentral describes it as "partial 16S ribosomal RNA". It matches the Rfam family "Bacterial small subunit ribosomal RNA", at positions 28 to 507 of the family's 1533-position model. The record is from RNAcentral.
GACGAACGCUGGCGGCGUGCUUAACACAUGCAAGUCGAACGAUGAAGAAGAGAAACGCGAACUUCGGUUCAACUUUCACUUCGGAUUAGUGGCAGACGGGUGAGUAACGCGUGAGCAACCUACCUCUUACAAAGGGAUAGCCUCGGGAAACCGUGAUUAAUACCAUAUGACACAUUCAUAAGGCAUCUUAAGAAUGUUAAAGCUACGGCGGUAAGAGAUGGGCUCGCGUCCCAUUAGCUAGUUGGUGAGGUAACGGCCCACCAAGGCGACGAUGGGUAACCGGCCUGAGAGGGUGAACGGUCACAUUGGAACUGAGACACGGUCCAAACUCCUACGGGAGGCAGCAGUGGGGAAUAUUGCACAAUGGGGGGAACUCUGAUGCAGCGACGCCGCGUGAGCGAUGAAGGAAUUCGUUUCGUAAAGCUCUGUUCUAUGGGAAGAAAAGGACUGUACCAUAGGAGAAAGCCCCGGCUAAAUACGUG